RNAcentral lists this ribosomal RNA (253 nucleotides) under uncultured bacterium. Its description in RNAcentral is "partial 16S ribosomal RNA". It matches the Rfam family "Bacterial small subunit ribosomal RNA", at positions 524 to 776 of the family's 1533-position model. The record is from RNAcentral.
UACGUAGGGUGCAAGCGUUGUCCGGAAUUAUUGGGCGUAAAGAGCUCGUAGGCGGUUUGUUGCGUCGGCUGUGAAAUCCCGAGGCUCAACCUCGGGUCUGCAGUCGAUACGAGCAAACUAGAGUGUUGCAGGGGAGACUGGAAUUCCUGGUGUAGCGGUGAAAUGCGCAGAUAUCAGGAGGAACACCGGUGGCGAAGGCAGCAGACUGGGCGUUCCCUGACGCUGAGGCGCGAAAGCGUGGGUAGCAAACAGG